GCCCACGUGGUGGAAUUGGUAGACACACCAUCUUGAGGGGGUGGCGGCGCAAGCUGUGUGAGUUCGAAUCUCACCGUGGGCACCA
This 85-nucleotide transfer RNA is filed under the name Burkholderiales bacterium. RNAcentral's name for it is "tRNA-Leu". It matches the Rfam family "tRNA". Rfam says of the family: Transfer RNA (tRNA) molecules are approximately 80 nucleotides in length. Their secondary structure includes four short double-helical elements and three loops (D, anti-codon, and T loops). Further hydrogen bonds mediate the characteristic L-shaped molecular structure. tRNAs have two regions of fundamental functional importance: the anti-codon, which is responsible for specific mRNA codon recognition, and the 3' end, to which the tRNAs corresponding amino acid is attached (by aminoacyl-tRNA synthetases). tRNAs cope with the degeneracy of the genetic code in two manners: having more than one tRNA (with a specific anti-codon) for a particular amino acid; and 'wobble' base-pairing, i.e. permitting non-standard base-pairing at the 3rd anti-codon position. The record is from RNAcentral. RNAcentral also lists the same sequence under 3 other names. Lineage: Bacteria; Pseudomonadati; Pseudomonadota; Betaproteobacteria; Burkholderiales.